GACGAACUUUGGCGGCGUGCUUAACACAUGCAAGUCGAACGGUAAGGCUCCAGCUUGCUGGGGUACACGAGUGGCGAACGGGUGAGUAACACGUGGGUGACCUGCCCUGCACUUCGGGAUAAGCCUGGGAAACUGGGUCUAAUACCGGAUAGGACCGCACCGUGAGGGUGUGGUGGAAAGUUUUUUCGGUGUGGGAUGGGCCCGCGGCCUAUCAGCUUGUUGGUGGGGUAAUGGCCUACCAAGGCGGCGACGGGUAGCCGGCCUGAGAGGGUGGACGGCCACAUUGGGACUGAGACACGGCCCAGACUCCUACGGGAGGCAGCAGUGGGGAAUAUUGCGCAAUGGGCGGAAGCCUGAUGCAGCGACGCCGCGUGGGGGAUGACGGCCUUCGGGUUGUAAACUCCUUUCACCAUCGACGAAGGGUUUCUGACGGUAGAUGGAGAAGAAGCACCGGCUAACUACGUGCCAGCAGCCGCGGUAAUACGUAGGGUGCGAGCGUUGUCCGAAAUUACUGGGCGUAAAGAGCUCGUAGGUGGUUUGUCGCGUCGUCUGUGAAAUUCCGGGGCUUAACUCCGGGCGUGCAGGCGAUACGGGCAUAACUUGAGUACUGUAGGGGAGACUGGAAUUCCUGGUGUAGCGGUGAAAUGCGCAGAUAUCAGGAGGAACACCGGUGGCGAAGGCGGGUCUCUGGGCAGUAACUGACGCUGAGGAGCGAAAGCAUGGGGAGCGAACAGGAUUAGAUACCCUGGUAGUCCAUGCCGUAAACGGUGGGCGCUAGGUGUGGGUUUCCUUCCACGGGAUCCGUGCCGUAGCUAACGCAUUAAGCGCCCCGCCUGGGGAGUACGGCCGCAAGGCUAAAACUCAAAGGAAUUGACGGGGGCCCGCACAAGCGGCGGAGCAUGUGGAUUAAUUCGAUGCAACGCGAAGAACCUUACCUGGGCUUGACAUAUACAGGAUCGCGCCAGAGAUGGUGUUUCCCUUGUGGCUUGUAUACAGGUGGUGCAUGGUUGUCGUCAGCUCGUGUCGUGAGAUGUUGGGUUAAGUCCCGCAACGAGCGCAACCCUUGUCUUAUGUUGCCAGCACGUUGUGGUGGGGACUCGUAAGAAACUGCCGGGGUUAACUCGGAGGAAGGUGGGGAUGACGUCAAAUCAUCAUGCCCCUUAUGUCCAGGGCUUCACACAUGCUACAAUGGUCGGUACAGUGGGUUGCCAGUCCGUGAGGGCGAGCUAAUCCCGCAAAGCCGGUCUCAGUUCGGAUCGGGGUCUGCAACUCGACCCCGUGAAGUCGGAGUCGCUAGUAAUCGCAGAUCAGCAACGCUGCGGUGAAUACGUUCCCGGGCCU
This 1341-nucleotide ribosomal RNA is filed under the name uncultured bacterium. Its description in RNAcentral is "partial 16S ribosomal RNA". It matches the Rfam family "Bacterial small subunit ribosomal RNA", at positions 28 to 1381 of the family's 1533-position model. The record is from RNAcentral.